AGGCGGGCGAGGGUCCGGGCGGAGGCGGAGGCGGCGGCGGAGGAGGAGAGGAGGCGGCGCGGGUCGUCGAGGAAGACGGGGAGAUGCAUGUGCUUAGCGCCGGAACGACGGAUCGGUCAUCGAGGAAGAGCGGCAAAAGAUCUACCUCUGGGCAGUCGAAGAAGGUGGCGGAGGAUGACAGGUCGAGGGUGAGUAGAUGGCGCAGCGGCGCGGAUUUGACGAUCGAAUCGGCCUUCGCAACACGCCAGGAUUUCCGCUUCCUCCGCAGCCUUGCAUUGCCGAAUGAAUUUCCACGACGAUAGCAGGGCUUGGCCUUCAGAGUUCCAGAGAUAUGCCGUGAAUGCACCAUCAACGUUGAUCUUUGCCCAUCCUGUUGGCGGCGCCUUCCAAGGUGUUAAUCUUCUUUGACCCUCUGCUGCUCUCAGGCUUUGGAUGCGUGCGGCUGGUCAUUGUAGAGAGCUGUCUGCUUUGCCCUUUAAAUCACUUGUUUUUUUGUCGGAUGAGCAGCAGUUUCUCUGCAUAGUUUUGCAGGAACUGGACAGAGCCAUCUACCGAGCUGUUGCCUUUGCCAUGAAAAGAGUCAUUCCGCCAAAUGAGAUCCUCUGCAGUCACUGCACCCCUACCAUUGUCACUGACAUAUGGGCCCGGAGGUCAUUGGGCCCACAUGUCAGUGACGAUGGCACUCUGCAGUCGACUGCAGAGGAACUCAAUCCCAUUCCGCAAGUGCCAUGCUCGCCGUAGCAACAUGAGGGUAAGUGAUAUCAUCUGCGGUUCUGCACUUCUGCAUGAUCCAGCAAGAGAAGUAACCAAUCAGGUUCGGCUUGCACAAAUUCACUUUCCGGCGCUGUGGCAUGGCACAUUGGCACCCAUCCUCCUGAGCAAAUCCACAUAUUUUGCACGUCGGCCUUUUUAUGAUGCGUCGGCGACUUGUGUGGCCAAUCUGAGUUGCUGAUCAGGUAAGUUUAAGUAACUAAGUAUAUUGUGUGGAUGUAGAUUGGCAGAACAUACUUGUGGCACUUGUUUACCUUCACGUCGAUAUAACAUAUUUUACGUCCUUUUUUUAUUAUUCUGAACAGGUAUGUGUCCCUCCUGAGGAUUGUACAAUUUAUUCUAAUCUGAGCGGUUAUAAACAUCUAAUGCAUUUUUUUUUGUCUAAACAGGGAAUGUGAUUUCAACAAUUUAUGAAGAAUCUGGUUUCCUGUGCUAUGUCGGAAUGUGGGUACAUUUUGAUUAGGGAUGCAAGCGGGGCUGACAAGAGGGUUUUUUUGUCCCGCUUAUUCCACUUCUAGUUCAUUUUUUCUUCUAAAUUUUGUACUACCAUGCGGGAAAUAGACUAACAAGCGGGUUUUUAUGCGGGUAGCGGGACUACCCACUUGCAUCUCUAAAUUUGAUUUAGUAAGGACAUGCUUACAAUCUGCUUGAUCCCUCAGUUAGCACAAUCUUAAUUUCCUUUAAAUAAUCUUUGGAUAAUGCCUUGAUUUCCUGUUAUAUUUUUUUACUGUGACCAGUACAUAAUAAAGCUAUUUGUUUCCACAAA
This is a non-coding RNA of Oryza sativa Japonica Group (Japanese rice), 1537 nucleotides long. The record is from RefSeq and is a predicted model, not a curated record. Lineage: Eukaryota; Viridiplantae; Streptophyta; Magnoliopsida; Poales; Poaceae.